This 323-nucleotide unclassified non-coding RNA is filed under the name uncultured fungus. RNAcentral describes it as "partial contains 5.8S ribosomal RNA and internal transcribed spacer 2". The stretch from base 1 to 133 matches the Rfam family "5.8S ribosomal RNA", at positions 22 to 154 of the family's 154-position model. The record is from RNAcentral. Lineage: Eukaryota; Fungi.
UGGUUCUGGCAUCGAUGAAGAACGCAGCGAAAUGCGAUAAGUAAUGCGAAUUGCAGAAUUCCGUGAGUCAUCGAAUCUUUGAACGCACAUUGCGCCCUUUGGCAUUCCGAAGGGCAUGCCUGUUCGAGCGUCAUUAUCAACCCUCAAGCUUAGCUUGGUGUUGGGCUACGGUCGUCAUUUACCGGCCCUAAAAGGCAACGACGGCGUCUCCGGGACCCCUGGUACAAUGAGCUUUUAAGAGGCACGUACUGUGGUGGGCUCGGGACGCAGUCUCACUAUUUAUUUGUCAGGUUGACCUCGGAUCAGGUAGGGAUACCCGCUGA